RNAcentral lists this RNase P RNA (349 nucleotides) under Alphaproteobacteria bacterium. Its description in RNAcentral is "RNase P RNA component class A". It matches the Rfam family "Bacterial RNase P class A". From Rfam's summary of the family: Ribonuclease P (RNase P) is a ubiquitous endoribonuclease, found in archaea, bacteria and eukarya as well as chloroplasts and mitochondria. Its best characterised activity is the generation of mature 5'-ends of tRNAs by cleaving the 5'-leader elements of precursor-tRNAs. Cellular RNase Ps are ribonucleoproteins. Lineage: Bacteria; Pseudomonadati; Pseudomonadota; Alphaproteobacteria. The record is from RNAcentral.
UGGGCGCGAAAAAGCAUAGCUGAAUUGGACGCGAAUUUUUCGUAUGACCACGAUUCAGAGGAAAGUCCGGACUGCAGCGGGACAACAUAGUGGCUAAUGACCACGCAGGGCAACCUGACGAUUAGAGCAGCAGAGACGAGCGUAUUUAUUUACGGUGAAACGGGCAAUCUCUAUGUGCAGCAACCUCAAGAAUGAUUCCUUGAUUGUCCCCAUCGUUACGGAAUCGGGUAGAGGGCUUGACAUUUUGCGGCAACGCAAUUUGCAGAUUAAUUAUGCUUGCAACCUUUUUUGUGUUAUGUGUGGACACGAAUUAGGCUGAACAGAAUCCGGCUUAUUGAACGCCCAGCAA